This 497-nucleotide ribosomal RNA is filed under the name uncultured bacterium. RNAcentral's name for it is "partial 16S ribosomal RNA". It matches the Rfam family "Bacterial small subunit ribosomal RNA", at positions 28 to 507 of the family's 1533-position model. The record is from RNAcentral.
GAUGAACGCUGGCGGCGUGCCUAAUACAUGCAAGUCGAGCGAACAGACGAGGAGCUUGCUCCUCGGACGUUAGCGGCGGACGGGUGAGUAACACGUGGAUAACCUACCUAUAAGACUGGGAUAACUUCGGGAAACCGGCGCUAAUACCGGAUAAUAUAUUGAACCGCAUGGGUCAAUAGUGAAAGACGGUGUUGCUGUCACUUAUAGAUGGAUCCGGGCCGAAUUAGCUGGUUGGUAAGGUAACGGCUUUCCAAGGCAACGAUGCGUAGCCGACCUGAGAGGGGGAUCGGCCGCAUGGGAGCGUGGCCGCGGUCCAUGCUCCUACGGGAGGCAGCAGUAGGGAAUCGGCGGCAAAGGGCGAGAGCAUGACGGAGCAGGGCCGCGUGAGUGAUGGAGGUCUCGGGAGCGUAAAAACGUGUUAUUAGUGAAGAACAAAUGUGGAAGGAACUAUGCCCUGCUUGACGGUACCGAAUCAGAAAGCCACGGCUAACUACGUG